Molecule: ribosomal RNA, 392 nt
Filed under: Aedes albopictus (Asian tiger mosquito)
Lineage: Eukaryota; Metazoa; Arthropoda; Insecta; Diptera; Culicidae
Description: eukaryotic LSU rRNA
Rfam family: 5.8S ribosomal RNA (bases 1-123)
Source: RNAcentral
GGAUCGAUGAAGACCGCAGCUAAAUGCGCGUCAGAAUGUGAACUGCAGGACACAUGAACACCGACACGUUGAACGCAUAUUGCACAUCGUACUACAGUACGAUGUACACAUUUUUGAGUGCCUAUAUUUAUCCAUUCAACUAUACGCGCUGCACCCGCGACCCGUCGCGCGCGCGCACGCACGUAUGCGUAGUGAUGUUUUUCCGCCUUCGGUGCGCGGCAAAACAUUGAAGAUAGUCAGACGUGGCGAGGCGCGGCAUGCGCCCACCCGCGGUUGAUGAGUACAUCCCACUCUGCCACCACCAUGCGCACUGUGUUGUACUCCAUCCAUUCGCUGACCACACACACACAUUCUCACACUCACUAGGCCUCACAUAAAGUGUGACUACCCCC